CUCGAUCUGGAAUGCCUCCCCACCAGCCCACCCAGCUCUCCAGCCCAGAGUGCUGGCCACCUUACCUGAGAAGCUCUGCUCAGGAUGAGAUGAGCCUCCUCUCACUCUACCCCCAGCCACUGGCUCAUCUGAACAGCUCAGAGCAAACGCCAGUGUCCUUGGGUAUAGACUAACCCAGGGGGGUCGGGUAAAUCUGCACUGCGUUUCUUUGCAAUGAAUAUCCAAACAGNNNNNNNNNNNNNNNNNNNNNNNNNNNNNNNNNNNCAAGUCGUACUACCAGUUUCUUAGAAGAAUGUAGUCAUCAUUAUUAAAUACCCGGACUGAAGAGGUUGGGGUGGUUCCCACUGCUCCUGUUUAACCCUUGCGUCCAGUGUGGGUGAAUGCAUGGAUUUAAUUGGAUCGGGUGACUAUAUAUCAGAAACAAUUCAGCUGAGCUGUUGUGCUGAUUGGAUGUUUUUAAAAUAACCAACUCUGGUGACCACCCAAGUCACCACCUGACCUUCUUUGGUUUGUCCAAGGAGUGGGUAAGCAUUUAGGGACAAUAUAAGGAGAGUCAGCCUCCUCCUGGGCCUACUCUUUCCUGCUCCCUCCUUCCUUCCCUUCCCUUCUUCCCUGCCUCCUUCCUUCCUUUUUCUUUCUUUUUCUCCUUCCUUCCGCCCUCCCUUCUUUCCCUCCUUUCUUUUCCUUUCUUUCUCUUUCCUUUUCAUCUUCUAUUUUAUUUCUACUUUUCCAUAUUUCUUUUUCUCUUGCUGCCUUUUCUUCAUUUUCAGCUUAGCAAUCAAGAUAGAGCAACCCAGCCAUGGAUACCUGUGUUCAAUAAAUACCUGUGUGGUGAAGAAACGGAUGAAUGGGACACGUGCGUGCGUGCGCGCGCGCGCGCACACACACACACGAGCUGAAAGCAUUUGAAGUCCUUAUCUGCUGAGCUCCCCAGUGAAAUUUCCCUUUUUAACACUUCUGACUCAUUCAAGCCUUUUCCAGAAGGAAGGUAAUUACGUGUUUUUGUUUUAAACAGUUCUGUUUUUGUACUGCUGGUGGACAAGUGAGGAAUAAUCAGUUUUAACUUUUAAGUGAAAUGAGUAAUUAAGCCCAGAAGGUACUGCUGACAAAAUUGGAAUCCUGUCUGUCAUUUAAUAGAGUGCCAUGUUGAAUUUGCUUUGCAUGUUGCUGGGGGAAAUAUGCUAGACAAUACACUCUAAAGUUUUUUUUAAUGAUUGAGAGAAUUAGGAUCAUUUAAAAAGGUUGAAAAACCAGGUGGCCAAUGUCUAGAAAAUUGUUUAAUUAAACCUAAAGCAAACAAGCUAAGGUCAUUGUGAUGUGGUAGUUUUUAAGAAUAGCAAUUUAGAAAUUGGUAUGUUCCUUACAUAGUGUAGAUGCUGUUGUUUACCUUGAAAGAUUUGCUUGUGUGAUUCACUUAUUUGAAAGUUCAGACCUGUUCUGUGUCUACAGCCUCUCUGUGUG
RNAcentral lists this long non-coding RNA (1461 nucleotides) under Capra hircus (goat). RNAcentral describes it as "lncRNA (ENSCHIG00010030755.1)". The record is from RNAcentral. Lineage: Eukaryota; Metazoa; Chordata; Mammalia; Artiodactyla; Bovidae.